This 293-nucleotide unclassified non-coding RNA is filed under the name Roussoella sp. RNAcentral describes it as "partial contains 5.8S ribosomal RNA, internal transcribed spacer 2, and large subunit ribosomal RNA". The stretch from base 1 to 71 matches the Rfam family "5.8S ribosomal RNA", at positions 84 to 154 of the family's 154-position model. The record is from RNAcentral. Lineage: Eukaryota; Fungi; Ascomycota; Dothideomycetes; Pleosporales; Thyridariaceae.
GUGAAUCAUCGAAUCUUUGAACGCACAUUGCGCCCUAUAGUAUUCUGUAGGGCAUGCCUGUUCGAGCGUCAUUUAACCCCUCAAGCCCAGCUUGGUAUUGGGUGCUUGUCCCGCCUCCUGCGCGGCGACUCACCUCAAAGUCAUUGGCAGCCCGCAAUCGCCGGCCGUGAGCGCAGCACAGACGCGCUUGUGGAAUCCGGCGGCUCGGCUCUCCAAAAGCUUAUUUCAACCACAAUUGACCUCGGAUCAGGUAGGGAUACCCGCUGAACUUAAGCAUAUCAAUAAGCGGAGGA